This 460-nucleotide ribosomal RNA is filed under the name uncultured bacterium. RNAcentral describes it as "partial 16S ribosomal RNA". It matches the Rfam family "Bacterial small subunit ribosomal RNA", at positions 338 to 795 of the family's 1533-position model. The record is from RNAcentral.
CCUACGGGUGGCUGCAGUGAGGAAUAUUGGUCAAUGGCCGUAAGGCUGAACCAGCCAAGUAGCGUGAGGGAAGACUGCCCUAUGGGUUGUAAACUUCUUUUAUGCGGGGAUAAAGGUGUCCACGUGUGGAUGUUUGCAUGUACCGCAUGAAUAAGGAUCGGCUAAUUCCGUGCCAGCAGCCGCGGUAAUACGGAGGGUCCGGGCGUUAUCCGGAUUUAUUGGGUUUAAAGGGAGCGUAGGCCGGUGGUUAAGCGUGCCGUGAAAUUUUGUGGCUCAACCGUGAGAGUGCGGCGGGAACUGGAAGCCUUGAGUACGCGAGAGGCAGGCGGAAGUCGUGGUGUAGCGGUGAAAUGCUUAGAUAUCACGAAGAACCCCGAUUGCGAAGGCAGCCUGCCGAAGCGUUACUGACGCUGAGGCUCGAAAGCGCGGGUAUCAAACAGGAUUAGAUACCCCAGUAGUC